AAGUCGUAACAAGGUUUCCGUAGGUGAACCUGCGGAAGGAUCAUUAGUGAUUGCCAUCUUGGCUUAAACUAUAUCCAUCUACACCUGUGAACCGUUUGAUUGAAUCUUCUGAUUCAAUUUUACAAACAUUGUGUAAUGAACGUCAUUAGAUCAUAACAAAUAAAAACUUUUAACAACGGAUCUCUUGGCUCUCGCAUCGAUGAAGAACGCAGCGAAAUGCGAUAAGUAAUGUGAAUUGCAGAAUUCAGUGAAUCAUCGAAUCUUUGAACGCAACUUGCGCUCUCUGGUAUUCCGGAGAGCAUGCCUGUUUGAGUGUCAUGAAAUCUCAACCAUUAGGGUUUCUUAAUGGCUUGGAUUUGGAGGUUGCCAUUCUAAAUGGCUCCUCUUAAAGGAGUUAGCAAGUUUUACUAUUGCUAUCUGGCGUAAUAAGUUUCGCUGGAAUGGUAUUGUGAAGCGUGCUUCUAAUCGUCUUCGGACAAUUACUUUGACUCUGGCCUCAAAUCAGGUAGGACUACCCGCUGAACUUAA
Molecule: ribosomal RNA, 528 nt
Filed under: uncultured fungus
Lineage: Eukaryota; Fungi
Description: eukaryotic LSU rRNA
Rfam family: 5.8S ribosomal RNA (bases 165-318)
Source: RNAcentral